RNAcentral lists this transfer RNA (67 nucleotides) under Hysteromorpha triloba. RNAcentral's name for it is "tRNA-Thr". Lineage: Eukaryota; Metazoa; Platyhelminthes; Trematoda; Diplostomida; Diplostomidae. The record is from RNAcentral.
GGAAGUAUAGUUUAUUUGAGAAUGGUACUUUUGUAAAGUAUUGGUGUAUAAUUAUAUUUUACUUCUU